Non-coding RNA from Plectropomus leopardus (leopard coralgrouper), 347 nucleotides. The record is from RefSeq and is a predicted model, not a curated record. Lineage: Eukaryota; Metazoa; Chordata; Actinopteri; Perciformes; Serranidae.
GAACUUCUGUGUUAAGACUGUUUUCCCAAUGCCAGCCACUCCUUUUGUCAUCACUGUUCUGAUUGGUUCUUCUCUUCCAGUCCCUCCCUCUGUGAUGUAGAGCUCUGUGUAGAUCUGAUUCAGAAGAGUUAGGUUUCCUGCUUUAGCAGUCCCUUUAAACACACACUGGAACUUCUUCUUCAGCUGAGCCAUCAAGUCAGCAAUAUGUCAAGCUCCUAAAGUUCAUGGACAACACCACCGCCAUUGGACUCAUCUCUGAUGGGCAUAAGUCUGUCUACAGGUGGCAGAAAGAACAACCUAGAGCUGGAUGACAUAUUUUACAAUGUAGCCAAUAGCACCACCUUGUG